CUGGCGGACUCUUCUGUCACGCUGCUGGCGGCGCUGCUCUUCCUCACGCAGCUCCUGGCGAAGCUCUUCUUCCUGGCGGACUCUUCUGUCACGCUGCUGGCGGCGCUGCUCUUCCUCACGCAGCUCCUGGCGAAGCUCUUCUUCCUGGCGGACUCUUCUGUCACGCUGCUGGCGGCGCUGCUCUUCCUCACGCAGCUCCUGGCGACGUUGGUCGGCCUCAAGCUGCUGGCGGAGCUCUUGUUCCUCACAGGAAUUUCUUCCGCGCUCCUGCCGAAGUUCUUUCUCACGUUCUUGGUGGCGCAGCUCCUCCUCCUCCUGGAAUUGUCUCUCUUGUUCUUGACGCCGCCUGUGUUCUUCCCGUCUUUUCCGCAGCUGCUUUUCCUCCUCAAGGAACUUUGCAUCCCUCUCCUGGGGCCGUCUUCUCGAGUCUCUCAGGAGCUGCUCUUCCUCCUGGAUGUUCUCAUCUCGCCUUCUGGCUUCCCUUUGGUGCUCUCGCUGCAGCUGCUCUUCCUCUAGCAACUGCCGGUCGCGCUGCAGUCGGCGCCUGGUCUCCUGCUCCAGCUCUCUCUUCUCUCCCGCUUCUUCUCGCAGAGGCCGCCGAUCCUGACGUAACCGUCUCUCUUGCUCCAGAGAAUCUUCCAGCUGCCGGGUCCUUUCUUCAUCCUGCCUGCGUUUGGAGAAGAGCCUGUGUCUGCGAGCUUCGUUUUCUUUCUCUGGUUGCCACUGCCAUUUCAGAUCCCUACGCUGAUCUACAUCCCGCAGCCGCUGCAGGUCCUCCUCUUGAUACUGCCUCCCCCGCUGCAGGCGCCUUCUUUCCUGCUGCAGCCGCUCCUCCUCCUGCUGCAGCAGCUCUUCCUCCUGCUGCAGCCGCUCUUCCUCCUGCUGCAGCCGCUCCUCCUCCAGUUGCAGCCGCUCCUCCUGCUGCUGCAGCCGCUCCUCCUCCUGCUGCAGCCGCUCCUCCUCCUGCUGCUGCAGCCGCUCUUCCUCCCGGAGGUAUUUCCUGUCCCGCUGCUGGCGCCGCUGCGCCUCUUCUUGCAGCAGCCGCUCCUCCCGUAGCUCCUCCCCGCUCUGCUGCCUCUGGCUGGGUUCGGCGUACCGCGUGUGGCACCUCUGGCUUUCUUCCUGCAAUUGCCGGCUCCUGCUUGCGUCCCGGCGACGCCUCUGGCGUUCCUCUAGGAGGCUAUCCUGGAGCUCCGCUCGCUGCAGCUCCUCCUCCCGGAAGCUCUGCUCC
Molecule: long non-coding RNA, 1231 nt
Filed under: Cricetulus griseus (Chinese hamster)
Lineage: Eukaryota; Metazoa; Chordata; Mammalia; Rodentia; Cricetidae
Description: lncRNA (ENSCGRG00015029020.1)
Source: RNAcentral